UACGUAGGGUGCAAGCGUUGUCCGGAAUUAUUGGGCGUAAAGCGCGCGCAGGCGGUCUUUUAAGUCUGAUGUGAAAGCCCACGGCUCAACCGUGGAGGGUCAUUGGAAACUGGGAGACUUGAGUGCAGAAGAGAAGAGUGGAAUUCCACGUGUAGCGGUGAAAUGCGUAGAGAUGUGGAGGAACACCAGUGGCGAAGGCGACUCUUUGGUCUGUAACUGACGCUGAGGAGCGAAAGCGUGGGGAGCAAAAAGG
RNAcentral lists this ribosomal RNA (253 nucleotides) under uncultured bacterium. RNAcentral's name for it is "partial 16S ribosomal RNA". It matches the Rfam family "Bacterial small subunit ribosomal RNA", at positions 524 to 776 of the family's 1533-position model. The record is from RNAcentral.